UUCAGUUGAAUGAAGACCGUACCGUAAACCGACACAGGUGGGUAGGAUGAGAAUUCUAAGGCGCCUGAGAGUACUCAGGAGAAGGAACUCGGCAAAAUAGCACCGUAACUUCGGGAAAAGGUGUGCCCUUUGUAUGUGUAGCGCCUCGCGCGUGAAGCAGAAUAGGGUUGCAAUGAAAUGGUGGCUGCGACUGUUUAAUAAAAACAUAGCACUCUGCAAACACGAAAGUGGACGUAUAGAGUGUGACGCCUGCCCGGUGCCGGAAGGUUAAAUGAUGGGGUGCAAGCUCUUGAUUGAAGCCCCGGUAAACGGCGGCCGUAACAAUAACGGUCCUAAGGUAGCGGAAUUCCUUGUCGGGUAAGUUCCGACCUGCACGAAUGGCGUAACGAUGGCCACACUGUCUCCUCCUGGGACUCAGCGAAGUUGAAAUGUUUGUGAAGAUGCAAUCUCCCCGCGGCUAGACGGAAAGACCCCGUGCACCUUUACUGUAGCUUUACAUUGGACUUUGAUAACAUUUGUGUAGGAUAGGUGGGAGGCUUUGAAGUGGAUUCGCCAGAAUUCAUGGAGCCAACGUUGAAAUACCACCCUGAUGUUGUUGAGGUUCUAACCUAGAUCCAUUAUCUGGAUUGGGGACCGUGUAUGGUAGGCAGUUUGACUGGGGCGGUCUCCUCCCAAAUUGUAACGGAGGAGUACGAAGGUAUGCUAGGUACGGUCGGAAAUCGUGCUGAUAGUGCAAUGGCAAAAGCGUGCUUGACUGCGAGACUGACAAGUCGAGCAGAUGCGAAAGCAGGUCAUAGUGAUCCGGUGGUUCUGUAUGGAAGGGCCAUCGCUCAACGGAUAAAAGGUACUCUGGGGAUAACAGGCUGAUUCCGCCCAAGAGUUCAUAUCGACGGCGGAGUUUGGCACCUCGAUGUCGGCUCAUCACAUCCUGGGGCUGUAGCCGGUCCCAAGGGUAUGGCUGUUCGCCAUUUAAAGUGGUACGUGAGCUGGGUUUAAAACGUCGUGAGACAGUUUGGUCCCUAUCUGCCGUGGGCGCUGGAAAUUUGAGGGGGCCUGCUCCUAGUACGAGAGGACCGGAGUGGACGAACCUCUGGUGUACCGGUUGUCACGCCAGUGGCAUCGCCGGGUAGCUAAGUUCGGAAGAGAUAAACGCUGAAAGCAUCUAAGCGUGAAACUCGCCUCAAGAUGAGAUUUCCCGGGAGUUCAACUCCCCUGAAGGGUCGUCCAAGACCAGGACGUUGAUAGGUCAGGUGUGGAAGC
RNAcentral lists this ribosomal RNA (1260 nucleotides) under metagenome. RNAcentral describes it as "bacterial LSU rRNA". It matches the Rfam family "Bacterial large subunit ribosomal RNA", at positions 1626 to 2874 of the family's 2925-position model. The record is from RNAcentral.